Long non-coding RNA from Molossus molossus (Pallas's mastiff bat), 436 nucleotides. RefSeq lists it as uncharacterized. Lineage: Eukaryota; Metazoa; Chordata; Mammalia; Chiroptera; Molossidae. The transcript is spliced from 4 exons. The record is from RefSeq and is a predicted model, not a curated record.
CUGCAGCCGGCUGGCCUCGGUCUGAUCGCUAACACCACCGCUUACGAGGCCCUUCUCGGCAGAUGGCCCAUGGAAGCAAAGAGCUGACAGUGUCUUCAAAGGGCAUAAGAACAAAACCAUGUUCUCCUUGGUGUACAAAGAAUCCAGGUGAAUUGCCAUAGAAACAAAAAAUACAAAAUAAAAUAAAAGAUCUCAGUCUUUCUAAACAAGCCACUGGAUAGAAGAGAGACAGAUGAUGCAUCUAUAAAUUAUCAAAUGGAAACACUUUUACAGAAUCUGCCAAGAGAGGUGUCACGAAUACUCGAGCAAUUUUGAUUCUCUGACCAAAAACUCUUUUCAGCCUGAUUGUGAAGAAAGGCUGGUAGGAAUCCAUGCAUGUGCUGGUGGUGGCAGAGAGGAGCUAAGAACACCAGGGAAUAAUGUGUGAGGGAUCCCG